UACGGAGGAUCCGAGCGUUAUCCGGAUUUAUUGGGUUUAAAGGGUGCGCAGGUUGUUUGAUAAGUCAGUGGUGAAAGUCUGUCGCUUAACGGUAGGAUUGCCAUUGAUACUGUUAGACUUGAAUAUGGAUGAGGUAGGCGGAAUGUGUAGUGUAGCGGUGAAAUGCAUAGAUAUUACACAGAACACCGAUUGCGAAGGCAGCUUACUAAUCCAUCAUUGACGCUGAGGCACGAAAGUGUGGGGAGGCAAACAGGA
Molecule: ribosomal RNA, 255 nt
Filed under: uncultured prokaryote
Description: partial 16S ribosomal RNA
Rfam family: Bacterial small subunit ribosomal RNA
Source: RNAcentral